UCUGGGAAACUGCCUGAUGGAGGGGGAUAACUACUGGAAACGGUAGCUAAUACCGCAUAACGUCGCAAGACCAAAGAGGGGGACCUUCGGGCCUCUUGCCAUCAGAUGUGCCCAGAUGGGAUUAGCUAGUAGGUGGGGUAACGGCUCACCUAGGCGACGAUCCCUAGCUGGUCUGAGAGGAUGACCAGCCACACUGGAACUGAGACACGGUCCAGACUCCUACGGGAGGCAGCAGUGGGGAAUAUUGCACAAUGGGCGCAAGCCUGAUGCAGCCAUGCCGCGUGUAUGAAGAAGGCCUUCGGGUUGUAAAGUACUUUCAGCGGGGAGGAAGGUGUUGUGGUUAAUAACCACAGCAAUUGACGUUACCCGCAGAAGAAGCACCGGCUAACUCCGUGCCAGCAGCCGCGGUAAUACGGAGGGUGCAAGCGUUAAUCGGAAUUACUGGGCGUAAAGCGCACGCAGGCGGUCUGUCAAGUCGGAUGUGAAAUCCCCGGGCUCAACCUGGGAACUGCAUUCGAAACUGGCAGGCUAGAGUCUUGUAGAGGGGGUUAGAAUUCCAGGUGUAGCGGUGAAAUGCGUAGAGAUCUGGAGGAAUACCGGUGGCGAAGGCGGCCCCUGGACAAAGACUGACGCUCAGGUGCGAAAGCGUGGGGAGCAAACAGGAUUAGAU
Molecule: ribosomal RNA, 670 nt
Filed under: Enterobacter sp. DH49-2
Lineage: Bacteria; Pseudomonadati; Pseudomonadota; Gammaproteobacteria; Enterobacterales; Enterobacteriaceae
Description: bacterial SSU rRNA
Rfam family: Bacterial small subunit ribosomal RNA
Source: RNAcentral